Heterocephalus glaber (naked mole-rat) is the source of this 1197-nucleotide non-coding RNA. NCBI's taxonomy places the organism in Eukaryota, Metazoa, Chordata, Mammalia, Rodentia, Bathyergidae. The record is from RefSeq and is a predicted model, not a curated record.
UCUAGGCCGGUCUGGAAAGGCAGCACAGUUGGGCCCAAGUGGCCCAACUCCCUGGAGGAGAGGACGGGCUCUGAAGACUCUUCCGGCUGCCCCUGAAACCCUGAAACCGCUUAGUUGUUUUUCUGGUUGACUAGCUGCUGCACGCAACUGUCAGCUGCUUGUGAACUGUGUGACGCCAGUUCGCGCUCCUGUUUGUUUUCUAAAAGGCACUGCCCUGAUUUUUUUUUAACGACUAAAUAAUAAUAAUCAUUGCAGUCUCCCUCUCCUGAGGUGUUCCUUGAUGUCUCUAGGGUGCUAGGGCUGGGCCAGCAUCUUUUCCUGCAAUUUUUUUAUCCUCCCAUGGACAGCAGGGAGAACACAGGCUGCACCAGGCUGUUACACCAGGCCUCCCCGCUGGGAUAAAUGCAGCUUGUUUCAAAAGUGAAGGAAGGAAGGAGAGAGCGGAGAGGACAUCAAUCCCCUCCUUCCCAAAGGUUGCACCUACCAGCGACAGUGAGUUCCUGUUUUGAGGAGCAGGAGCUUGAAUAUUGUGAGCCUAAUGACAAAGUCAACAAUUGUUCAGAAGACCUGCAUUCACCAGAAAGAAUCUUUUUACCAAUAUUCAGAUGAUCAAAUUUUAAAAUUCAGCACGGACUGAGUUUUUAUACAUUCUGCACACUCCAAAACAGGGGAAGACCACCACAGCGUGCACAGGAGGAAAAAAGUCAGACUGUGCAAUCAUUAUGCAAUAAUGCAUUAAUAAUAUAUGGUUUAUUGAACCAAAAAAGACUUUGGCCAAACUCCCAGUCAUUUAACCCAUUGAGUGGUUUUAAGUUAUAUAGCCACCGAAGAAGAAAUUACCUGAGGAAGAAUAGAGUAAACCUACCAGGAACCUCCUCAGUUACCUAAAGCAAUGCCUCUAAGAAGCAUGGAGAAGAAGCUCAGUGUGGAAAUGGAGAAAACCAACUUGUUCAUCUAAAGCUGAGUCUCAGGGACUAUUUGGCACACAGCUAUGAACCUGGGGGACUGGAAAAGUCAGAAACUUAGCAGGUAAAGACAGCAUAGGUGCACAUUCUCUGGGCUCAUAAACUGGCCGAAGAAUAGACCAGCAGCACCUUAAAUCAUCUUCAUAGGGCUAACCUAUGGAGUAUAACAAGCAAAUAUGUGUUUAAAUGCAGCAUAUUUGCCAAAAUAAUAAACCUUUUAUUACAUUUCCUC